Molecule: ribosomal RNA, 501 nt
Filed under: uncultured bacterium
Lineage: Bacteria
Description: partial 16S ribosomal RNA
Rfam family: Bacterial small subunit ribosomal RNA
Source: RNAcentral
AUUGAACGCUGGCGGCAGGCUUAACACAUGCAAGUCGAGCGGGGGAAGGUAGCUUGCUACUGGACCUAGCGGCGGGCGGGUGAGUAAUGCUUAGGAAUCUGCCUAUUAGUGGGGGACAACAUCUCGAAAGGGAUGCUAAUACCGCAUACGUCCUACGGGAGAAAGCAGGGGAUCUUCGGACCUUGCGCUAAUAGAUGAGCCUAAGUCGGAUUAGCUAGUUGGUGGGGUAAAGGCCUACCAAGGCGACGAUCUGUAGCGGGUCUGAGAGGAUGAUCCGCCACAAUGGGACUGGGACACGGGCCAGACUCCUACGGGAGGCAGCAGUGGGGAAUAUUGGACAAUGGGGGGAACCCUGAUCCAGCCAUGCCGCGUGUGUGAAGAAGGCCUUAUGGUUGUAAAGCACUUUAAGCGAGGAGGAGGCUACUUUAGUUAAUACCUAGAGAUAGUGGACGUUACUCGCAGAAUAAGCACCGGCUAACUCUGUGCCAGCAGCCGCCGUAA